RNAcentral lists this transfer RNA (459 nucleotides) under Nodosilinea foveolarum P-BJ1. RNAcentral describes it as "Leptolyngbya foveolarum P-BJ1 partial 16S-23S ribosomal RNA intergenic spacer". The stretch from base 204 to 276 matches the Rfam family "tRNA". The record is from RNAcentral. Lineage: Bacteria; Bacillati; Cyanobacteriota; Cyanophyceae; Nodosilineales; Nodosilineaceae.
UAGGGAGACCUACCCACUCGACGAGUGAACGCACAUAGUUAAUAACUCAAGAGUUGGUCAUCCCAAGGUCGUUCGAGAUAGAAGUGUAGGCUUUCAAACUAUAUUGGUUCGGUUCACGGGCUAUUAGCUCAGGUGGUUAGAGCGCACCCCUGAUAAGGGUGAGGUCCCUGGUUCGAGUCCAGGAUGGCCCACCUUUUCGACAAGGGGGUAUGGCUCAGUUGGUAGAGCGCCUGCUUUGCACGCAGGAUGUCAGCGGUUCGAGUCCGCUUACCUCCACUGAGAUGGUGACUUGUAAGGUGACGUAACGUUAGCAACUGCUCUUGGCUAAGUCAAGACAGCCUGCUGACCUAGCAGUCAGCCAGAACCUUGAAAACUGCAUAGUAACUUGUCAGGUAGAAGGCGAUUAGUAAGCCACUAAUUGCUACAUAUCACAGACACCAAUGUAAGCGACAAAAAAGU